This 497-nucleotide ribosomal RNA is filed under the name uncultured bacterium. RNAcentral describes it as "partial 16S ribosomal RNA". It matches the Rfam family "Bacterial small subunit ribosomal RNA", at positions 28 to 507 of the family's 1533-position model. The record is from RNAcentral.
GAUGAACGCUGGCGGCGUGCCUAAUACAUGCAAGUCGAGCGAACAGACGAGGAGCUUGCUCCUCUGACGUUAGCGGCGGACGGGUGAAUAACACGUGGAUAACCUACCUAUAAGACUGGGAUAACUUCGGGAAACCGGAGCUAAUACCGGAUAAUAUAUUGAACCGCAUGGUUCAAUAGUGAAAGACGGUUUUGCUGUCACUUAUAGAUGGGUCCGCGCCGCAUUAGCUAGUUGGUAAGGUAACGGCUUACCAAGGCGACGAUGCGUAGCCGACCUGAGAGGGUGAUCGGCCACACUGGAACUGAGACACGGUCCAGACUCCUACGGGAGGCAGCAGUAGGGAAUCUUCCGCAAUGGGCGAAAGCCUGACGGAGCAACGCCGCGUGAGUGAUGAAGGUCUUCGGAUCGUAAAACUCUGUUAUUAGGGAAGAACAAAUGUGUAAGUAACUAUGCACGUCUUGACGGUACCUAAUCAGAAAGCCACGGCUAACUACGUG